Molecule: long non-coding RNA, 1927 nt
Organism: Daucus carota subsp. sativus
Lineage: Eukaryota; Viridiplantae; Streptophyta; Magnoliopsida; Apiales; Apiaceae
Exons: 6
Source: RefSeq, a predicted model, not a curated record
AAAAUCUCGGGCGGCUGACGUGGCUCUUCCCUCCUUGCUCUUAAACUGAAUUCUCUCCUCUCAGCAUAUCUCAAUUAUUCCGCUGCCUCUUUUCUUCUUAUUUAAUUUUUAUUAUAUUUUAUGCUUGGCUCCCUCCUUGCUCUUAAACUGAAUUCUCUCCUCUCAGCAUAUCUCAAUUAUUCCGCUGCCUCUUUUCUUCUUAUUUAAUUUUUAUUAUAUUUUAUGCUUGGCUGAUCGGUUUCGUAACUGAAGCCUCAUCAUCUCCUCGGACGGUUGUACUGAAGCCUCAUCAUCUCCUCGGACAGUUGUUAUAAAUGAUCCUCCGGCAAUCGUUACUUUUCGCUUGAUUAUUUCUUGCUUGAAAAUUAGCUUCGCACACACUGUUGGACCUCUUUGUUGGGCUGGCUUGGCUAUAGCGAUUGUUGCUAACAGCUGUUAUUCUUCCGGUGGGCGUCCUCUUCUUCUUCUCUAGCUUAGUCGUGAAUCUUCUUCCGGGUAUACUUGCCGAAAGAUUUACAGGGUGGUUGCGAAGUUGUUGUGGCUGGAACCCUGAUUGAUUGGUGUGCUGCUGUUAAGGUCGGUUUCGGGUAGGUUGAAUACUCUGAUGGUCUUCUGCACCCAAGGGGGUCCCUGAUCAAGAUUUCUGCAAAUUACAGGGUUUGGGAAAGAGUUCGGCUGAAUCCUCUGAUGGUCUUUUGCACGCCAGGGUGUCCCUGAUCAUGAUUUGAGCAAAUUACAGGGUUUGGGAAAGAGUUUUGUUAACUUUCAAAAUAUCCAUAAAUUCUUGAGGCGACUCCAAAUUGAUCUACUUCUAAAAUGAUGCAGCCUGGACAUUUGCUCAGGUGUAGUAAUUAUAAUUUAAAUGUCUUAUAGUCUCUUGCAACUUGGUUUAGCCAUUUAUUAUUUUUUCUAACAUAUGACCAUUAAUGUUUCAAGAAAUUGCCCUUAAUAAGGAUAUGGAGCUGAACAAGGAAACAAGGUAGGAUGUUAUGCCCUUUGUGUGUUGUGACCAUUUCUUUUCGGUCUGAAAUAUGUUCUCUGGAAAAACGGCAGAACUAGGAUAAUCCAUUUGAAAGAGAAACUAGCAACACUCUUAAUGCUUGAUGAUUAACAAUUUCUUGACUUAAUAUGUGAAAAUUUGCACUGAAAGUUGUGCAACUUACAGGAGUUAAGGAAAGCAGUUGCAGAUACAUUUUACGGAGAUGUAACAGUAAAAGAUACUGAAGUUUUUAUAUCCAAUAUCAAGACUUUCCGGAUAUAUUUGUUUACAGGUACUAAAAUCAAUAAAUUAUCAAGAAUUUGCUUAGGUGCUUGAUGUCACGCAGUUUGGCUACUUUAAGGUGCUGGGGAAGGGCUCAGGGACGAAACCGAUUGUGGUAAAGGCCAAGCUGGUGUCGAAAAUUGCGGAGAAGAAGAUUGAGAUGGGCGGCGCUGUUGUGCUUACUGCUUAGGAUUGAUUGUUUUUGUUUUAAUUGAAUUGGAUUAUACUGAUUGUAAUGGUUAUUAUUGAUUCUCACUACAAGAAAGAGGAAUCCAGGGAUUACUUUACCAGCAGCUGAAGUUGGGUUGGAAGUGUUGUCAAUCAAUCGAGUGGAAGUGCAGUGUUGAUAAAGAGAUUCUUUUCCCCUAUUGAUCAUGUCCAUUCCUGCGUGGAAUUGUGCUCAAAACUUAAAAAAAACUGUUGUUCUGCUUGGUUUAUCUAUCCAGUUGUCACUUGUGACACACAAUAAAAUUUAAGCAUUUUCUAGAUAUAAUUAGUGCAGGUGGUGGUUUUACUGAUUAUGUUUACUAUUGCAUGCUUGCUAAAACGUGACAAGUAUUUCCGUGUUUUUUUGGUCUGUCAAGAGUAGCUUCUGAACAAGUGUUGGGAACUCCUUUCGGAUAUAGCCAUUUAAAUAGUGUAUAUGUGCUGUAGCUGAAUUAAAUG